AGUGAACGCUGGCGGUAGGCCUAACACAUGCAAGUCGAACGGCAUCACAGUAAGAGCUUGCUCUUACGGGUGGCGAGUGGCGGACGGGUGAGGAAUACAUCGGCAUCUACUUUUUCGUGGGGGGUAACGUUUUGAAACUUACGCUAAUACCGCAUACGACCUACGGGUGAUAGCAGGGGAUCUUCGGACCUUGCGCGAUUGUAUUAGCCGAUGUCGUAUGAGCUAGUUGGCGGGGUAAAGGCCCACCAAGGCGGCGAUCCGUAGCUGGUAUGAGAAGAUGAUCAGCCACACUGGAACUGAGACACGGUCCAGACUCCUACGGGAGGCAGCAGUGGAGAAUAUUGGGCAAUGGGGGCGAGCCUGAUCCAGCCAUACCGCGUGAGUGAAGAAGGCCUUAGGGUUGUAAAGCCCAUUUGUUGGGAAAGAAAAGCAGCAGGUUAAUACCCCGCUGUUCUGACGGUACCCAAAGAAUAAGCACCGGCUAACUUCGUG
RNAcentral lists this ribosomal RNA (492 nucleotides) under uncultured bacterium. RNAcentral describes it as "partial 16S ribosomal RNA". It matches the Rfam family "Bacterial small subunit ribosomal RNA", at positions 29 to 507 of the family's 1533-position model. The record is from RNAcentral.